GAUUCUGAACGCUGCUGACUCGUCAGAGUCAAGCUCGUUCGUAAUACAUGAGCGUCUCUAUUCAAAUUCGGAUUGACUCAGCGUAAUAGACUAUUCGUUGAGGACACCCCUGGGUGGCCGAAAGACAAUAUGAGAAGCUACUAGCCAGUCAACAUUUUGAUUUAGACCUCAAAUCAGGCAGGAUUACCCGCUGAACUUAA
Molecule: unclassified non-coding RNA, 200 nt
Filed under: soil metagenome
Description: partial contains internal transcribed spacer 2 and large subunit ribosomal RNA
Source: RNAcentral